AUGCUUCUAUACAUGCCUGUGCAUACUUCUGUGUUUCUGUGAGUCUGUGUGUACACACACACACACACACACACACACACACACACACACACAC
This 94-nucleotide microRNA precursor is filed under the name Erinaceus europaeus (western European hedgehog). RNAcentral describes it as "miRNA (ENSEEUG00000019356.1)". Lineage: Eukaryota; Metazoa; Chordata; Mammalia; Eulipotyphla; Erinaceidae. The record is from RNAcentral.